CAGUAGCCGCGGUAAAACGAAGGGGGCUAGCGUUGUUCGGAUUUACUGGGCGUAAAGCGCACGUAGGCGGACUUUUAAGUCAGGGGUGAAAUCCCGGGGCUCAACCCCGGAACUGCCUUUGAUACUGGGAGUCUCGAGUUCGAGAGAGGUGAGUGGAAUUGCGAGUGUAGAGGUGAAAUUCGUAGAUAUUCGCAGGAACACCAGUGGCGAAGGCGGCUCACUGGCUCGAUACUGACGCUGAGGUGCGAAAGCGUGGGGAGCAAACAGGAUUAGAUACCCCAGUAGUCCCUGUCUCUUAUAA
Molecule: ribosomal RNA, 301 nt
Filed under: uncultured bacterium
Lineage: Bacteria
Description: partial 16S ribosomal RNA
Rfam family: Bacterial small subunit ribosomal RNA
Source: RNAcentral